This 314-nucleotide ribosomal RNA is filed under the name uncultured bacterium. RNAcentral describes it as "bacterial SSU rRNA". It matches the Rfam family "Bacterial small subunit ribosomal RNA", at positions 28 to 334 of the family's 1533-position model. The record is from RNAcentral.
GAUAAACGCUGGCGGCGCACAUAAGACAUGCAAGUCGAACGGACUUAACCAUUAGUUUACUAUUGGAGCGGUUAGUGGCGGACUGGUGAGUAACACGUAAGCAACCUGCCUAUCAGAGGGGAACAACAGUUAGAAACGGCUGCUAAUACCGCAUAAUGCAUUGGAUUCGCAUGUUUCUGAUGCCAAAGAUUUUAUCGCUGAAAGAUGAGCUCGCGUCUGAUUAGCUAGUUGGCGGGGUAACGGCCCACCAAGGCGACGAUCAGUAGCCGGACUGAGAGGUUGAACGGCCACAUUGGGACUGAGACACGGCCCAG